Molecule: ribosomal RNA, 628 nt
Filed under: Sepsis secunda
Lineage: Eukaryota; Metazoa; Arthropoda; Insecta; Diptera; Sepsidae
Description: partial 12S ribosomal RNA
Rfam family: tRNA (bases 416-487)
Source: RNAcentral
UAAAGUAGUAAUAGUUAUGUUCUUGAAACUUAAAAAAUUUGGCGGUAUUUUAGUCUAUUCAGAGGAAUCUGUCCUGUAAUCGAUAAUCCACGGUGGACCUGACUUAGAUUAGUAUUUCAGUUUGUAUACCGUCGUUAUAAGAAUAUUUUAUAAGAAUAAUAAUUUUCUAGAAUUUUAAUAAAAAUUUAUAUCAGAUCAAGGUGCAGCUUAUGUUUAAGUAGAGAUGGAUUACAUUAAAAUUAUUUAUAUGGAUUAGUUAUUGAAAUAAGRCUAUGAAAGUGGAUUUGAAUGUAAAAUUAUAAAGAUUAAUARUUUGAUUUUAGCUCUAAAAUAUGUACACAUCGCCCGUCACUCUUAUUAUUAAGGUAAGAUAAGUCGUAACAUAGUAGAUGUACUGGAAAGUGUAUCUAGAAUGCAAUUUAAAGCUUAAAUAGUAAAGCAUUUCAUUUACAUUGAAAAGAUUUUUGUGCAAAUCAAUAUAAAUUGAUUAAUUUUUAUUUAUUAAUUAAUUUUUUAAAAAUUUUUUUAUAUUAAAAAUAAUUAUAAAAUAUAAUGUUUUAGUAUUGUUUAAAGAAUAAAUAAUUUUAAUAAUAGUGUAUUAGUAUUGUGAAAGAAAAUUGAAAUAUUU